UAUCAACGCUGGCGGCGUGCCUCAGACAUGCAAGUCGAACGAUUAAAGCUCUCUUCGGAGAGUGUAUAGAGUGGCGCACGGGUGAGUAACACGUAAGUAAUCUACCUUUGAGUGGGGAAUAACAGUCGGAAACGGCUGCUAAUACCGCAUAACGCAGCGGCACCGCAAGGUGACAGUUGUUAAAGGAGCAAUCCGCUUAAAGAGGAGCUUGCGGCAGANAGCUUGUUGGUAAGGUAACGGCUUACCAAGGCUACGAUCUGUAUCCGGUCUAAGAGGACGGUCGGACACACUGACACUGAAUAACGGGUCAGACUCCUACGGGAGGCAGCAGUCGGGAA
This 338-nucleotide ribosomal RNA is filed under the name uncultured bacterium. RNAcentral describes it as "bacterial SSU rRNA". It matches the Rfam family "Bacterial small subunit ribosomal RNA", at positions 32 to 361 of the family's 1533-position model. The record is from RNAcentral.